AAUUGAAGCCCUAGCUUUUAACCUUGAGCCAAUUCUUUCUUCUCUUCUCAAUGCCAUUCAACCUUAGACGAUGCUCUCUUCUCUCCUGUCUAUUCUGCCCUCCACAGUUCUCACACUGAACGCUAAAAUAAAACUGAUCCAACACAUUUUUUAUGGAAAAUCAUCAUGUUUUUCAUUGGUCGGCUCCCAUUGAUCAAAUCGAUUUGGGAUAUAAUUGGAGAUUCAUUUGGCCAAGCCCUUCAUUCUUCUCUCCCUGUCCCUGAUGAAGAAAAUGAAAUUGAAGCUAAUCAAGGUUGGGAAUGUCGAUCUUUGCUCUCAGAUCAAUGACUUUAGAAGCCAAUCAAGCUUGCAUGUUGCCUCCCUCCUUUUCUCCCAACAUUUGGCGCCUAACGUCUACCGUCUUGUCACCCAACUAUGGUUUGGGAUGAUAAUUGGAGAUUCAUUUGGCCAAGCCCUUCAUUCUUCUCUCCUUGUCCCUGAUGAAGAAAAUGAAAUUAAAGCUAAAUAAGGUUGGGAAUGUCGAUCUUUGCUCUCAGAUCAAUGACUUUAGAAGCCAAUCAAGCUUAUGAAGAUGAAAUCACCAAAGGCUCCUCAAUUCUCUCAAGUCGUUUAUUCCAAAUCAAUAUCAA
Long non-coding RNA from Hevea brasiliensis (rubber tree), 629 nucleotides. RefSeq lists it as uncharacterized. NCBI's taxonomy places the organism in Eukaryota, Viridiplantae, Streptophyta, Magnoliopsida, Malpighiales, Euphorbiaceae. The record is from RefSeq and is a predicted model, not a curated record. The transcript has 3 exons.